UCUGCUCAGGAUGAACGCUGGCGGCGUGCCUAAUACAUGCAAGUCGAGCGAACAGACGAGGAGCUUGCUCCUCUGACGUUAGCGGCGGACGGGUGAGUAACACGUGGAUAACCUACCUAUAAGACUGGGAUAACUUCGGGAAACCGGAGCUAAUACCGGAUAAUAUAUUGAACCGCAUGGUUCAAUAGUGAAAGACGGUUUUGCUGUCACUUAUAGAUGGAUCCGCGCCGCAUUAGCUAGUUGGUAAGGUAACGGCUUACCAAGGCAACGAUGCGUAGCCGACCUGAGAGGGUGAUCGGCCACACUGGAACUGAGACACGGUCCAGACUCCUACGGGAGGCAGCAGUAGGGAAUCUUCCGCAAUGGGCGAAAGCCUGACGGAGCAACGCCGCGUGAGUGAUGAAGGUCUUCGGAUCGUAAAACUCUGUUAUUAGGGAAGAACAAAUGUGUAAGUAACUAUGCACGUCUUGACGGUACCUAAUCAGAAAGCCACGGCUAACUACGUGCCAGCAGCCGCGGUAAUACGUAGGUGGCAAGCGUUAUCCGGAAUUAUUGGGCGUAAAGCGCGCGUAGGCGGUUUUUUAAGUCUGAUGUGAAAGCCCACGGCUCAACCGUGGAGGGUCAUUGGAAACUGGAAAACUUGAGUGCAGAAGAGGAAAGUGGAAUUCCAUGUGUAGCGGUGAAAUGCGCAGAGAUAUGGAGGAACACCAGUGGCGAAGGCGACUUUCUGGUCUGUAACUGACGCUGAUGUGCGAAAGCGUGGGGAUCAAACAGGAUUAGAUACCCUGGUAGUCCACGCCGUAAACGAUGAGUGCUAAGUGUUAGGGGGUUUCCGCCCCUUAGUGCUGCAGCUAAC
Molecule: ribosomal RNA, 856 nt
Filed under: Staphylococcus epidermidis
Lineage: Bacteria; Bacillati; Bacillota; Bacilli; Caryophanales; Staphylococcaceae
Description: bacterial SSU rRNA
Rfam family: Bacterial small subunit ribosomal RNA
Source: RNAcentral